This is a non-coding RNA of Misgurnus anguillicaudatus (oriental weatherfish), 4800 nucleotides long. NCBI's taxonomy places the organism in Eukaryota, Metazoa, Chordata, Actinopteri, Cypriniformes, Cobitidae. The record is from RefSeq and is a predicted model, not a curated record.
UAGGGCGGAACCAAAAGUGGUGAAGAAAGGUUCCGCCUGAAGAUGGCUUCCGCCCGGGCCCGAUUUUUAAUUGCACCAUUUUAUUUCCUGGUCUCCCUAGCGACACAGAUUAUUGACAAACGAGCAACAGGUGUGACAAAUCAGGCUGAGAACUCAUGAUUGGAGGAUGGAACAGAGACAACACACAUAAAAAGGCCCAAAGAAGCCCAAACGGGGAGAAGUUGUUUUGGGCACGAGUUGCUGCACUGCCUAGGGCAGACCCGAUCACACGCUCCGUCCUUGGAGGAGCCGAAGGGCGCCGUUGAUCCACGGAAGCGCUUAUAGCGCAUGGAAAGAGUGCGGCAGCCAAGAAAGGCAAAAAGGACGGAGCGGUGGAUUUUUAAAGGAGCACUGCACCGGAGUGUGCUUGUGGUGUACUUUGUAUACGCUGUGUUGCUGCUUUGCAGACGGACCACGCUGGCUGGAUCGCUCUCCUGGGGAAGAGAGAAAGGGGCAGUUAGCUGACGAAGGAAUAUUGUGGAGUUUCAUUGAGAAAGAGCGUACACAUAGCCAUCAAGAGUGCAGUUAAUAGCUGUUGUUGACAACGAAGUGUGAGUAACAGCUGUGGUACUUAUCUGUGCAAUACCUGUACAAAGAGUGUUUGGUGUGUUCCUUUGUGUUUUUGAGGUCCCUGGCCCCACUGGAGAGGGAAGCGUGGGCGAGCCGUGUUUUGACCGGAAGCACGGACGAAGCACUUGGUAGGAAGCAUCGUUCACCAGUAGAAUAGUGGCCCUGUGGGAAAAAGGAAGCGCAGGUGAGCCAGAGGAGGAUAAUCAACACGCCGGGCCUGUGAAUAACACACAUUUCACUCUCAUCAGCGGUCCAGCGAUCGCCCAACCAUCCUCUCGAGGUCGUCGUAGCCAGGUGGCAAGAGCAAUCUAAAAACCACGUGAAGUUGUAUAAGAGUGCUGUGGGUGAGUUUCACUGAUUGAUGGUGUUUACGCUUUACUUGCUGUGUGUAUGCUGUGCUUGUAGCGUUCAAACCGCCUAGCCCUGACGAGUCACGAGACGGCGACAUCCGUUGUGGCCUGGGUCCUAAGGAGAGCGAGAAAAUUUGAUCCCUGUGCCCGGGGUGUGUCAACGAGAGCUUCGUUUGUCCAUAGAGCAGACAGUGGAGAAACCCAGUGAGUAUUAUCAAGAGUGUACCGUGCGGACUGUGGGUUGUAACGGUGUGUGUACUGACCUCUCCAACAGAAGCUCGUGGUGAGCGGAGCCCCGACGAAGGUUCGCCCCAACUCGUGACCCCGGUCGUGGAAGAAGGAGGGGGAGUUUGGGAAGCGUUCGGCUCCGUGUCAUCGGACCCACUAGUCCCUACGACGCCCGGACAGCCGGAGUGGAUGGGCGAAGGAAUACGGUGCACUGACACUGCAGCGAAAAUCCACUGUUUGCAGCAAUCACCUACCUGUACAAGUGAAGCUCUGUGUGCAUGAAGAUCCCCAGUGCUGUGAGUAACGUAACCUGUGAAGUAAACCUGUUCUGUGCUUAUAGCAAUUACAUACCUGUAUAAGUGAAGCUCUGUGUGAGUGAAGAUCCCCAGUGCUGUGAGUAACGUAACCUGUGAAGUAAACCUGUUCUGUGCUUAUAGCAAUUACCUACCUGUACAAGUGAAGCUCUGUGUGCAUGAAGAUCCCCAGUGCUGUGAGUAACGUAACCUGUGAAGUAAACCUGUUCUGUGCUUAUAGCAAUUACCUACCUGUACAAGUGAAGCUCUGUGUGCAUGAAGAUCCCCAGUGCUAAAUUACCUACCUGUGCCGGUGAAGCUCUGUGUGGGAACGAGGAUCCUCCAGUGCUGUGGGUAACGUAACCUGUGGAGAGAACUUGACCUGUGGCUAUAGCCAUCACUUACCGUUCCAACGAAGGUCCCGUGUUGAAGGAACAGCGACUAGUAACAAAGUACCUUACCCUUGUCUGAUUAUUAUUCUGAUUCUGCCUCCAGGAGAAGCGGAGCGCGCCACGGAUUGUUGGGCCAGAGCCCCAAAGGAGCCCCUGUCCCCAGUCUUUCCCCCAAGUGGCCCUGGAGGCGAAGAAGAGACACACUAGUUUUAAAUUACCCUUUCCCCUUCCCCCUUUCCUUUUAAAUAUUUAAUAAAGCUUGUUUUAACUGUAGUAUACUCGUCUGUCUGGUCAUUGGGGUGGUCUUGGGAAACUCCUCGAGGUGGAAGAGUUGAGAGGGGCGUGACCUUUAGUUUAUUCGGGUCCGCCCCGGCCGUGACAGAUUUGGCGUAGUCGGCAGUCCACCUCGGGUUGAGCGACCAAGGCCCUCCAAUGGCCGACGACGAGUUGCCCGAAGCCCCCACUCUAUUUUUUCUAGUUGUUCAGCAGACCGUUCUCGGGACGAGAACGGUUUGGCAGGGGGGGAUGUCACCGGGUGACUAUGAUAGGGCGGAACCAAAAGUGGUGAAGAAAGGUUCCGCCUGAAGAUGGCUUCCGCCCGGGCCCGAUUUUUAAUUGCACCAUUUUAUUUCCUGGUCUCCCUAGCGACACAGAUUAUUGACAAACGAGCAACAGGUGUGACAAAUCAGGCUGAGAACUCAUGAUUGGAGGAUGGAACAGAGACAACACACAUAAAAAGGCCCAAAGAAGCCCAAACGGGGAGGAGUUGUUUUGGGCACGAGUUGCUGCACUGCCUAGGGCAGGCCCGAUCACACGCUCCGUCCUUGGAGGAGCCGAAGGGCGCCGUUGAUCCACGGAAGCGCUUAUAGCGCAUGGAAAGAGUGCGGCAGCCAAGAAAGGCAAAAAGGACGGAGCGGUGGAUUUUUAAAGGAGCACUGCACCGGAGUGUGCUUGUGGUGUACUUUGUAUACGCUGUGUUGCUGCUUUGCAGACGGACCACGCUGGCUGGAUCGCUCUCCUGGGGAAGAGAGAAAGGGGCAGUUAGCUGACGAAGGAAUAUUGUGGAGUUUCAUUGAGAAAGAGCGUACACAGAGCCAUCAAGAGUGCAGUUAAUAGCUGUUGUUGACAACGAAGUGUGAGUAACAGCGGUGGUACUUAUCUGUGCAAUACCUGUACAAAGAGUUGUUUGGUGUGUUCCUUUGUGUUUUUGAGGUCCCUGGCCCCACUGGAGAGGGAAGCGUGGGCGAGCCGUGGUUUGACCGGAAGCACGGACGAAGCACUUGGUAGGAAGCAUCGUUCACCAGUAGAAUAGUGGCCCUGUGGGAAAAAGGAAGCGCAGGUGAGCCAGAGGAGGAUAAUCAACACGCCGGGCCUGUGAAUAACACACAUCUCACUCUCAUCAACGGUCCAGCGAUCGCCCAACCAUCCUCUCGAGGUCGUCGUAGCCAGGUGGCAAGAGCAAUCUAAAAACCACGUGAAGUUGUAUAAGAGUGCUGUGGGUGAGUUUCACUGAUUGAUGGUGUUUACGCUUUACUUGCUGUGUGUAUGCUGUGCUUGUAGCGUUCAAACCGCCUAGCCCUGACGAGUCACGAGACGGCGACAUCCGUUGUGGCCUGGGUCCUAAGGAGAGCGAGAAAAUUUGAGCCCUGUGCCCGGGGUGUGUCAACAAGAGCUUCGUUUGUCCAUAGAGCAGACAGUGGAGAAACCCAGUGAGUAUUAUCAAGAGUGUACCGUGCGGACUGUGGGUUGUAACGGUGUGUGUACUGACCUCUCCAACAGAAGCUCGUGGUGAGCGGAGCCCCGACGAAGGUUCGCCCCAACUCGUGACCCCGUCGUGGAAGAAGGAGGGGGAGUUUGGGAAGCGUUCGGCUCCGUGUCAUCGGACCCACUAGUCCCUACGACGCCCGGACAGCCGGAGUGGAUGGGCGAAGGAAUACGGUGCACUGACACUGCAGCGAAAAUACACUGUUUGCAGCAAUCACCUACCUGUACAAGUGAAGCUCUGUGUGCAUGAAGAUCCCCAGUGCUGUGAGUAACGUAACCUGUGAAGUAAACCUGUUCUGUGCUUAUAGCAAUUACAUACCUGUAUAAGUGAAGCUCUGUGUGAGUGAAGAUCCCCAGUGCUGUGAGUAACGUAACCUGUGAAGUAAACCUGUUCUGUGCUUAUAGCAAUUACCUACCUGUACAAGUGAAGCUCUGUGUGCAUGAAGAUCCCCAGUGCUGUGAGUAACGUAACCUGUGAAGUAAACCUGUUCUGUGCUUAUAGCAAUUACAUACCUGUAUAAGUGAAGCUCUGUGUGAGUGAAGAUCCCCAGUGCUGUGAGUAACGUAACCUGUGAAGUAAACCUGUUCUGUGCUUAUAGCAAUUACCUACCUGUACAAGUGAAGCUCUGUGUGCAUGAAGAUCCCCAGUGCUGUGAGUAACGUAACCUGUGAAGUAAACCUGUUCUGUGCUUAUAGCAAUUACCUACCUGUACAAGUGAAGCUCUGUGUGCAUGAAGAUCCCCAGUGCUGUGAGUAAUAUAACCUGUGAAGUGAAACUGUUCUGUACUUGUAGAAAUUACCUACCUGUGCCGGUGAAGCUCUGUGUGGGAACGAGGAUCCUCCAGUGCUGUGGGUAACGUAACCUGUGGAGAGAACUUGACCUGUGGCUAUAGCCAUCACUUACCGUUCCAACGAAGGUCCCGUGUUGAAGGAACAGCGACUAGUAACAAAGUACCUUACCCUUGUCUGAUUAUUAUUCUGAUUCUGCCUCCAGGAGAAGCGGAGCGCGCCACGGAUUGUUGGGCCAGAGCCCCAAAGGAGCCCCUGUCCCCAGUCUUUCCCCCAAGUGGCCCUGGAGGCGAAGAAGAGACACACUAGUUUUAAAUUACCCUUUCCCCUUCCCCCUUUCCUUUUAAAUAUUUAAUAAAGCUUGUUUUAACUGUA